AGAGGAAUAGCUGGGUCAAAUGGUGGUUCCAUUUCCAGAUUUCCAAGGAAUCUCCAUACUGUUCCAAAUUGGCUGCACCAAUUUGCAGUUCCACCAGCAAU
This 101-nucleotide microRNA precursor is filed under the name Marmota monax (woodchuck). The record is from RNAcentral. Lineage: Eukaryota; Metazoa; Chordata; Mammalia; Rodentia; Sciuridae.